CCAAUAGCGUAUAUUAAAGUUGUUGCAGUUAAAAAGCUCGUAGUUGAAUUUUGGGUCUGGCCGGGCGGUCCGCCUUCUGGGUGAGUACUGUUCCGAUGUCGGGCCUAUCCUUCUGGUGAGUCGGCAUGCCCUUUACUGGAUGUGUCGGGGAACCAGGACCAUUACCUUGAAAAAAUUAGAGUGUUCAAAGCAGGCGCAUGCUCGAAUACAUUAGCAUGGAAUAAUGAAAUAGGACGCGUGGUGCUAUUUUGUUGGUUUCUAGAACCGCCGUAAUGAUUAAUAGGGAUAGUUGGGGGCAUUAGUAUUCAAUUGUCAGAGGUGAAAUUCUUGGAUUUAUUGAAGACUAACUUCUGCGAAAGCAUUUGCCAAGGAUGUUUUCAUUAAUCAAGAACGAAAGUUAGGGGAUCGAAGACGAUCAGAUACCGUCGUAGUCUUAACCAUAAACUAUGCCGACUAGGAAUCGGGCGAAGUUAUUUUCACGACUCGCCCGGCGCCUUAUG
This 500-nucleotide ribosomal RNA is filed under the name uncultured Glomeromycotina. RNAcentral's name for it is "partial small subunit ribosomal RNA". It matches the Rfam family "Eukaryotic small subunit ribosomal RNA", at positions 591 to 1092 of the family's 1831-position model. The record is from RNAcentral. Lineage: Eukaryota; Fungi; Glomeromycota.